CUAUAUUUAAUUCACAAUUUGCAAAUGGAAAUGAUAUUAACAUCAGUUGUAGAUUUCAAUAAAUUUCUUAUCAAAUUCUUUAAUAUUCGUUAUCAUAUAUUACUGCUUUGGUGAUUGUAGCUUGUAAAAUGGGGGGUUUAUCGGCCCUUCAUAAAUUGAAUUAUUUAAUCCUCUUUUUGAUAAAAGUUAAAACUAGUUGAAAUGAAAAACUAUGUUGUGUAUCCAUAGGUUCAUUUGCUCUUAAAACUUGCACUUAUUCUGCCUAUUGCCAACUGUGGAACAAACUUUUCAGCAAUGAGCUUUUUCAACACCAUUGCACAACCACUUAUUUGAUUAAUUGAUGAAUGACUAUUUAGUUA
This 359-nucleotide unclassified non-coding RNA is filed under the name Hevea brasiliensis (rubber tree). Lineage: Eukaryota; Viridiplantae; Streptophyta; Magnoliopsida; Malpighiales; Euphorbiaceae. The record is from RNAcentral.